GGGACACGUGGUAUCCUGUCUGAAUAUGGGGGGACCAUCCUCCAAGGCUAAAUACUCCUGACUGACCGAUAGUGAACCAGUACCGUGAGGGAAAGGCGAAAAGAACCCCGGCGAGGGGAGUGAAAAAGAACCUGAAACCGUGUACGUACAAGCAGUGGGAGCACAGGUUUACCUGUGUGACUGCGUACCUUUUGUAUAAUGGGUCAGCGACUUAUAUUCUGUAGCAAGGUUAACCGUAUAGGGGAGCCGGAGGGAAACCGAGUCUUAAUUGGGCGUUAAGUUGCAGGGUAUAGACCCGAAACCCGGUGAUCUAGCCAUGGGCAGGUUGAAGGUUGGGUAACACUAACUGGAGGACCGAACCGACUAAUGUUGAAAAAUUAGCGGAUGACCUGUGGCUGGGGGUGAAAGGCCAAUCAAACCGGGAGAUAGCUGGUUCUCCCCGAAAGCUAUUUAGGUAGCGCCUCGUGAAUUCAUCUCCGGGGGUAGAGCACUGUUUCGGCUAGGGGGCCAUCCCGGCUUACCAACCCGAUGCAAACUGCGAAUACCGGAGAAUGUUAUCACGGGAGACACACGGCGGGUGCUAACGUCCGUCGUGAAGAGGGAAACAACCCAGACCGCCAGCUAAGGUCCCAAAGUCAUGGUUAAGUGGGAAACGAUGUGGGAAGGCCCAGACAGCCAGGAUGUUGGCUUAGAAGCAGCCAUCAUUUAAAGAAAGCGUAAUAGCUCACUGGUCGAGUCGGCCUGCGCGGAAGAUGUAACGGGGCUAAACCAUGCACCGAAGCUGCGGCAGCGACACUGUGUGUUGUUGGGUAGGGGAGCGUUCUGUAAGCCUGUGAAGGUGUGUCGUGAGGCAUGCUGGAGGUAUCAGAAGUGCGAAUGCUGACAUAAGUAACGAUAAAGCGGGUGAAAAGCCCGCUCGCCGGAAGACCAAGGGUUCCUGUCCAACGUUAAUCGGGGCAGGGUGAGUCGACCCCUAAGGCGAGGCCGAAAGGCGUAGUCGAUGGGAAACGGGUUAAUAUUCCCGUACUUGGUGUUACUGCGAAGGGGGGACGGAGAAGGCUAUGUUGGCCGGGCGACGGUUGUCCCGGUUUAAGCGUGUAGGUGUGUGUUCCAGGUAAAUCCGGUUCACUUUAACACUGAGGCGUGACGACGAGGCACUACGGUGCUGAAGCAACAAAUGCCCUGCUUCCAGGAAAAGCCUCUAAGCAUCAGGUAACAUCAAAUCGUACCCCAAACCGACACAGGUGGUCAGGUAGAGAAUACCAAGGCGCUUGAGAGAACUCGGGUGAAGGAACUAGGCAAAAUGGUGCCGUAACUUCGGGAGAAGGCACGCUGACACGUAGGUGAAGUGAUUUACUCAUGGAGCUGAAGUCAGUCGAAGAUACCAGCUGGCUGCAACUGUUUAUUAAAAACACAGCACUGUGCAAACACGAAAGUGGACGUAUACGGUGUGACGCCUGCCCGGUGCCGGAAGGUUAAUUGAUGGGGUCAGCGCAAGCGAAGCUCCUGAUCGAAGCCCCGGUAAACGGCGGCCGUAACUAUAACGGUCCUAAGGUAGCGAAAUUCCUUGUCGGGUAAGUUCCGACCUGCACGAAUGGCGUAAUGAUGGCCAGGCUGUCUCCACCCGAGACUCAGUGAAAUUGAACUCGCUGUGAAGAUGCAGUGUACCCGCGGCAAGACGGAAAGACCCCGUGAACCUUUACUAUAGCUUGACACUGAACAUUGAGCCUUGAUGUGUAGGAUAGGUGGGAGGCUUUGAAGCGUGGACGCCAGUCUGCGUGGAGCCGGCCUUGAAAUACCACCCUUUAAUGUUUGAUGUUCUAACGUGGACCCGUGAUCCGGGUUGCGGACAGUGUCUGGUGGGUAGUUUGACUGGGGCGGUCUCCUCCUAAAGAGUAACGGAGGAGCACGAAGGUUGGCUAAUCCUGGUCGGACAUCAGGAGGUUAGUGCAAUGGCAUAAGCCAGCUUGACUGCGAGCGUGACGGCGCGAGCAGGUGCGAAAGCAGGUCAUAGUGAUCCGGUGGUUCUGAAUGGAAGGGCCAUCGCUCAACGGAUAAAAGGUACUCCGGGGAUAACAGGCUGAUACCGCCCAAGAGUUCAUAUCGACGGCGGUGUUUGGCACCUCGAUGUCGGCUCAUCACAUCCUGGGGCUGAAGUAGGUCCCAAGGGUAUGGCUGUUCGCCAUUUAAAGUGGUACGCGAGCUGGGUUUAGAACGUCGUGAGACAGUUCGGUCCCUAUCUGCCGUGGGCGCUGGAGAACUGAGGGGGGCUGCUCCUAGUACGAGAGGACCGGAGUGGACGCAUCACUGGUGUUCGGGUUGUCAUGCCAAUGGCACUGCCCGGUAGCUAAAUGCGGAAGAGAUAAGUGCUGAAAGCAUCUAAGCACGAAACUUGCCCCGA
This 2401-nucleotide ribosomal RNA is filed under the name Salmonella enterica subsp. enterica serovar Stanley. Its description in RNAcentral is "partial 23S ribosomal RNA". It matches the Rfam family "Bacterial large subunit ribosomal RNA", at positions 419 to 2802 of the family's 2925-position model. The record is from RNAcentral. Lineage: Bacteria; Pseudomonadati; Pseudomonadota; Gammaproteobacteria; Enterobacterales; Enterobacteriaceae.